Molecule: unclassified non-coding RNA, 2746 nt
Filed under: Orussus abietinus
Lineage: Eukaryota; Metazoa; Arthropoda; Insecta; Hymenoptera; Orussidae
Description: protein fem-1 homolog CG6966, transcript variant X5
Source: RNAcentral
GAUCGAAUCGCGUUUCGUACUGUUUCGUACUGUCUGGCACUGUCUGGUACUGUCCGGGCCAGUCCGGGCUAGUCCGGUCUGUCAGUUUGCGUGUUUUGCAUAGUUUUGCGUCGUGACGUUGAGUCCAGCGAUCGUUUCCUGACGUUUAGACAUUUAUCGUUGCAAUAUGUCGUUUUUAGGAGUAGCGAAACAUUCGUAUAACGUCGAGUCUGAAAUUUCUGGUGUUACCGCGGCGUUGAUCGUGUUCUAGGGGUCCGAGUAGUCCUCGGAACUCUCAGACGUUUUGAAGGUUAUAUACGCCAAUUAUAGUACUCCAGUUUAAUAAUAAACUGACAAUUAUAUCGAAGUGGCAAAGGAUUCUUUUUUGUAUCGUCGAUACUCCGCCUCUACUUCGAUUCAGAAUUAUUCCAGUCGAUUUGUGAUUUUUAAACGUCAAACUGGACCGUCACGCUAGAAAAAAACGUCAAGAAGUUGACAUGUGGAUCAGCAAUAAUGAAGCAAUUAAUUCACACAACACGAUAUUCAAUUAUCUCAUAGAAGAGUGCAAGUGCUUAGCACCUGGUGCCCGACUGUCUUAUAAAUUAAGAAAUCGCUUGGAAAAGUUCAAAGUAGACACUCGUAAGCAAAUCGUGUCCAGAACAAAGGAUGGGUGUGCGCCACUGUUUAUAGCAUGUAAAAGGGGCCAGGUUGAAAUCGUAGAGUAUCUCAUCACGGUGUGCCAUGCGGACAUCGAACAACGUGGGAUGUACGAGGUGCCGGAUGACAGAUCGGUACACUUUGCUACGCCGCUGUGGUGUGCCGCGGUAUCUCGCCAGUUAGCCGUCCUAAAAUGUUUGAUAGACCACGGAGCCGACGUGAACGCAGUGUCGGAUUCUGGCUCCACGCCUGUCAGAUCGGCAUGUUUUAUGACCUACUUGGACAUUGUCUCGUUUCUCGUGCACAAUGGUGCUGACAUUAUGAAGGCCAAUUACAACGGCGGUUCAUGCCUCAUAAAUUCCGUGCAGAGCGUGGAAUUGUGCACUUUCAUUCUGAAUCACGGUGCUGACGUGAAUGCGAGCGAUAUCCAAAAUAAAACUGCUUUGCAUUACGCCAUUCAAGAACACAGGUUUCAAACUAUGAAACUCCUACUGGAGCACAACGCCGAUCCGUACCUGAAGUCCCGGUAUAAUGACGACGCUCUACAAACUGCUUGCAUCAAAGGCGGCGUACUCGCUUUUCAAUAUCUGGUGGAACACGCGUCGUAUACUCCGGAGCGGCUUGCCGAUGCCAAUGAACUAAUGGGGUCAACUUAUUUCGACGAGUUCAAUGACACUCACACGGCCUUGAAAUAUUGGCGAACCGCCCUUGACAUCAGAUGCUCUAACACGAUCGAUGGCAAGCCCCUACCAAAGAGACCCGUGAUGCCUAAGAGGGAGUAUCUCCAAAACGCCACGGAAAUUACCACUCUGACCGAGCUUAACGCCAUAGCUCUCGACGUGGAUGCGAUGAGGAUCCAGAGCCUGUUGAUUUGCGAAAGGAUUUUGGGGCCGCAUCAUAAGGAUACCCUAUUCAGACUUAUGUUUCGAGGGGCGGCGUAUGCCGAUGCUCUAAGAUACCAGCGCUGCAUAGACCUAUGGAGAAGGGUACUAAAGAUCCGCAUGGAGAAGGACUCGAUUUUGUUCACCGAAACUUGCUUCACCGCCCAAGCUCUCGUACGUCUCAUGAUCGACCUGGAUACGAAAGUCCUGGAAUUGGUGAGGGACCGUAACGCGCAUUGUAGCGAACCCAGGUUUUGCGACGUCGUCGCGGUGUUUAAGUUGCUCACGUCUCAGUUGAUGGAAGCAGGAGAAUUAUUUCAAAUACGUCCAGUUUACAAGAGACAGCAGGAUAAUUAUGACUGCAUUUUAAAAUGCAUCACGCAUUUGAUUUACCUACUGACGAGAACCGCCCAAUCCCCGGAAGAGAAGGCCGAAAUGGGCCAAUUGGUUUACGAAUUGGUUAGACAAAAUCCGAGAUCGGCCUCCUCGGGAGAUACUCUUCUUCAUUUCGCGAUAUCCGGGAUGAACACCAUCCACGGCGAGGACUUUGGUAGCGGGGACGUUCAGUAUAUUUUCCCUCACUUCGACGUGACGAAGCUGCUCCUGGAGUGUGGGGCUCACGUGAAUGCCAGGAACGACGCGAAGUCUACUCCACUGCACGUUGCCAGUGACUUUCGUAAUUUCCGGAAACCCUUGGUGCAGUUGCUGCUGGACCAUGGUGCUCACUUGGACACUCCGAACAAGGCAGGGGACACUCCGAUUCUUCUGCUCUCGUCAAAUCCGGAGAACGACUUGAAUCUCGUCAAGUACAUUACUCUGCAGUGUCACGCUGCCCAGGCCAUAAGGAAGUAUGGAAUUCGGUGCUCGGAAUUGCCGGCGACUCUUCACCGCUUCUUGGAAUAUCACAUGGACUAGGACGCGUGUCCGUCGGAGUUGCAAGUGGAGAGUGUGCUCCGCUGCGCGUCACACCGAUUGCGAGAUUACCGGGAGCUCGAGGUGGCUUUCAAGGUUCUCCCGAGAAAGUGAAACCCUGACGAACAUUUUGCUGCUAAAACCUAAUAGAGAGAAGGUGCCAUGGUAAACUGGCGGUCAUGAGUGGCUUCCUAGUGUACAUGGCGCAGCCUGGUGGUGGUAACGUAAACGUAACGUAAAAAACGAGCUCGAGAACUUAUGUACUUGCGGUACCUGAUGUAUAAUAAACUGUAAAAUAAUUAAUGUAAUAAAGCAAC